Molecule: unclassified non-coding RNA, 4214 nt
Filed under: Homalodisca vitripennis (glassy-winged sharpshooter)
Lineage: Eukaryota; Metazoa; Arthropoda; Insecta; Hemiptera; Cicadellidae
Description: zinc finger protein 62 homolog, transcript variant X5
Source: RNAcentral
AAGAUACUAGAACAACAGAGAGCGUGAGAGAGAGGUAAACGUGAACGUGAACAACAAAACGAGUGAAUAAUAGUAACAUAAGGAAAGUUGACAGAAGCCAUUUUGUUGCAUUUUAUUUGGUGUUUAGUGUAGUAUGUAGUAUCGAUGGACUCAUACAAGUAGUUUAAAUUAUUGUGAAAAAGUGUUAAUAAUGUGAUGGUGGUCAAGAACCUGGUGAAUACUUGCCGACGUGAACGUGGACUUAAAAUCUCAACCGUGUUGAACUUUGGACAAUACCCAUUGUAGUCCUACUAGUUCUAGCCUAUCGAAAGACAAAUAGUUACUUUUUGUCUUGAUUCACACAUUACAAAACGUUAUAAUUAUCUUAUGUGUGUGAUGUAUAUAAAUGAAAGUAUGCAUAUAUAGUAAUUGUUGUGCCAUCAAGUUUAUGGAUAGGGACUUAAUUUCUAAUAUGUAGUCACAACAAACAGCAAACUAUUGUGGUAACUAACACAUUUCCUGCCCAUGGAACUGACUAUUGAAUAUUACCUAAGUCUGCCUGUAAUUAAUUUUGGUUUAUAUCUUUGUACUAAAGGUAUGCUACCUAGAGACCAAGAGGCCUAUUUUAGUAUUUAGUCAAAGUUUCCGUUGUACAAAAUAGAGCUAGAUCUCAACCUUUCAAGAUGUCGAGUGAAAAGCCAAGGUGUAGACUUUGUAUGCAUCAUAAACCAUACCUUGCAACAUUAUUUAGACGCAGUCUUUCAAUGAAAGUAAUGGAAUUAGCGGAUGUUCAGGUCAUGGAAAAUGAUGGAUUGCCGACAGUCGUAUGCAUUGACUGUGAGAACGCUGUUGAAAAGUGCUACAGUUUCAGGACUCAAAUUCAGUGGGCAGAUAAAAAGUUUAGAGAAGAAAUGUCAGUUUCUUUGGUGGAAGUGGAGGAAUGUAGUAUUAAAGAAGAGCAUGGAGAUUUUAUGGAAGAUGAUUCUGAUUUACAUAGUGACAGAGGCCACAAUGAUGAUGCUGCAAAGGGCACUGGUGAUAAGGGACAAGAUGGACCUGUCAUUCCUCUGAAUCAUGUUGAAGUGAUGGAAACAAUCGAGACUGGAAAUCAGGUUCAGAUGAUUGAUGAUCCUCAGGGCCAAGCAGAACCAUUGAUUGAAGCACCUUUUGCUGCAAAGGAAGAGGAACGUGCCAUGGAUCCACUGAUUUGCACUAAAGAGGAAGAUGUAUCGAUGGAGAGUGAUACCAAUAGUGCAACUUCAGCCCCUGCCUCUACAUCAGAUUUCCCGGUUAAGAGAUCAAUGCCUGCAAGUUCAUUCAGUAUUCCAUCAGACAAUGGAUCUAACCACGAAUCAGGAGUGAAGACAUUUCUACAAAACUAUCAACACGAUUCAACAUUGCAUAUUGAAUCCAUACAAAAUUCUACACCCAGUACAGACUUUUCUACAUAUGAUCACACUGGUUUGACAAGACUUCCGGUAAAUCUAUUAACGUCUUGUAAAAAUGCAGAUGUAUCUUCGAACUUAAAUGUUUCGUUGAGCAGUCCCCUAGUAAAUCCUUUCGGCUCUGUGUGUAGAACUAGUAACAAAAUGUUAUUGAUUUUACAAUUAAAACCAUGUUCAACACCUGUAAAUAUUGCCAAAGUUAGUGAGUCUAACAUUCCAAAUGAUAACAGACCUACAUCUAAUAAUCAAGUCUAUGUGAAGUUAAAAGAAAAUAAAAGUGAUAAGGAAAAUGAAAGCUUACAGUUGAAAACUGGAAACCCAGCAUGUGAAAGUUUGACACGAUCAAAGGUAGAUAAAAAUAAAUCUGCAGUUUGUGAGGCAGAUGAAAGUAAUAACACAACCAGAGGUUCGUUCUGUAGGGUCUGCUACGUGGAGUGUGGCAGUCUGGAGCUGUUACAGGAACACAUGGAGAGGAACGAACGUAUGAUCUGUCGAGUGUGUACUGCAGAGUUCAACAGCCACAAAGAACUCGAAACUCAUUUCUUUACUCACAAAAAGUACAAUUGUAAGGUCUGCCAAGAAAGAUUUUCUGAUAGGAAAAGUCUUUUGGACCACAGGAAAACAUCAGCAAGUUGCAGUUAUCAAGAGGAAUGCAAAGUUUGUGGUAAAAAAUUCUUCAGUAAAAAAUACCUAGACAAACAUAACUUAAUAUUCCAUAACAAGAGUGGUGGACUGUUUAAGUGUGUAGUCUGCGGAAAUGGUUUUAUUCUUCUUGAGCAACUGAACUUUCACUUACAAAAUUGUCACAAUGCUUACGAGAAAGUAGAAUGCAGCAUUUGCCAUAAAUGGUAUUUAGGACCGAUAAAGUUGAAGAUGCAUGUCAAAGCAGCACAUCUAUAUUGCAAGAAGGAUACUGAAAGAAGUGAUACUGUUUGUACGAUUUGUGAAAAGCGAUUCUCAACUGUUCAAAGUCUUAAGCACCACAUGAAAAUUCACGAUGUUACAGAUUGCUUGUGUGACUUAUGCGGUAAAUCUGUUAAAGGGAAAUCUGCAAUGAAAAGACACAUGCAGAACGAGCAUUCUAGAUCUGGUACAUUUGUUUGUAAAACUUGCAAUGAACAGUUUGAUAUGGAGGCGGCAUUGAAUAGACAUAAAAGAGAAGUCCACACGAAACGGGCAGUCCCACUUCCUGUCUUUUGUGAAAUAUGUGGUAAAGAAUACAAAUCAAAAGCAAUUUUGAAAGUUCACAGAUUUACUCAUUUUGAUGAAAAACCCUUUAAAUGUGAAAUUUGUGGUGCUUCUUUCAAACAACAAGGUACUCGAAAUACACAUAGAAGAGUACAUAACAGUGAGGGUAAAUUCCGGUGCAAUAACUGUGAAAUGACUUUUAGGUGGAAACAUGUAUACGCCAGGCAUGCAAAGAAAUGUGUGGGUGAAGGUUAAAAAUGUGUAGUUGUAAAUAGUGGCAUAAUUGCUUUUACUACUUAGGAACAUUAGACCUUUGAUUGUUACUUAAGUUGAUCUCUCUUUCAAGUUCUAUAAUCACUUUUCCACCGUGAUAGUCAAAGUUAAUGUGUAAUAUAUUCUUAAGAAAAAUUACACUUUGAAAGGUUUUGUUUCCAUCUUAAGCUGUUGUAGUAGUUUUUAAAAGCUAUUACAAAAAUCAUCUUAGACGAGUUAGUGAUGAAAGUAAAAAUGUUAUAAAUACUCACUAAUUCUCAGAAAAUAGUGAUAUCCAACAAGUAACAUCCAUAUGGUUAUACAAAUAUUAAUUCACAAUUUGUGCAAUCUAUCUACUUUUGCUUGAUGAUUGUGCAACAUCAAGGUUGCUGCACAACUGAUUUAUAACAAUGUCAGACUAGUAUUUAUGUCUUAGGACCAUUCACUUCUUAAUUCUGAUUUAUUAUUAUUAUUUUGAAACCAUACAAGUGAUAUUUUAGAAUCCAGUGUGGAAACUACAUCUCAUUCAAAUCUACUUUUUAAAUGAAACUGUACAAAAGAAAAUAUUUGUGGAAAAGUUAUAUAAUAUAGUGAAAAUAAUUAAUACAAUUUUCUCAGAAUUUUGCAUUGAAAUAUGCAAAGAUAGAAUUGUCAAUAACAGAUCUCAUUAUUUAUUUCAGAUAUUGGUAUAUUCUCUCUACAAAGACAGUAGUUAUAUCACACACUAUUCACAGAUUAAGCUCCCACCAAAAAAUUGCACAUAAUAUUGUAGGUAAUGAGAAUAUGCAAGACAAAUGUUUUGUCAGAAAAAAUGUAAAAUGUAAAAAUGACAGUCCACAAUUUUCCAGUGGCCAUUGUAAUAACCAGUCCAUAUUGAAAAACAAAAUAUCCAAAUUACAUAUCGAAUUAGGUGCAUAUAAGCAGUGUAUUUUUCCUAUUAAUUCCUUCAUUAAAGCAAUGUUAUGAUUUUGACGUGCCUUGUAUACUUUGUACAACUUUGAAUGUAUUUGUACAGUAUUAUAAAAAAAUCUAAUCUAAUUCUAUAUCAUUCUAAUGUAUUAUGAAGCACUUAUUUAUACAUUACUUAAAUAGUUUGAAAUAACAAUAAGUCUUAAUACCAAUAAAUCCUACUACUGUUUGACCUUAAAAGUGGUGUGAAUUUUUAAAUAGGACAGACUUAAAUCAGACAACCCUGCAAGAUUUUAUAGAUACAGCUAUUAAUAUAAAUUAAGUUGAAUAUUUUCAUGAUCAAACAAAUAGUUAUUUCUGUGGAAUAAUUCAUAAAAAAUUAUAUAAAGAAUAAAAUACAUGUAAAUCAUAAAUAUAAUAAAAUAUUAUUUAUCACCUGUA